UUCAACUUCCUUGUCCAUUCGUCAGCCGCUGCAGAAAUAAGACACCAGACGUCCAAACAACAAAAAGAAAAAAUAAACGACACCAGACUCUGAGCCAUCACACCAAAAUCGCGGCCACCCUCAGCCGCCAGCUCAAUCUUGUAUUGCUCUCUGUCUCUGUCUGUCUCUCAGCAAAUCGCAAUGGCUCGUAACGAAGAGAAAGCGCAGUCGAUGCUCAAUCGAUUCAUCACACUCAAAGCCGAAGAGAAGAAGAAGCCAAAAGAGCGACGUCCAUACCUGGCCUCCGAAUGCCGGGACCUUGCUGAGGCCUCCAAAUGGCGGCAGCAAAUCAUGGGAGAGAUUGGCCGAAAAGUCGCCGAGAUCCAAAACGAAGGGCUCGGCGAGCACCGUCUCCGCGACCUCAACGAUGAGAUCAACAAGCUCAUACGGGAGAAGGUUCACUGGGAACGACGAAUUGUUGAGCUUGGAGGCCCUAACUACGCGAAACACGCCCCUAAGAUGACAGACCUCGAUGGCAACAUCAUCGACGUCCCAAACCCUAGCGGCCGAGGCCCUGGGUAUCGGUAUUUCGGCGCCGCGAAGAAGUUGCCGGGAGUCAGAGAGCUUUUUGAGAAGCCACCGGAGCUGAGAAAGCGGAGGACGAGGUACGAUAUAUACAAAAGGAUUGAUGCGAGCUAUUAUGGGUAUAGGGACGAUGAGGAUGGGGUUCUAGAGAAGGUUGAGGCUCCGGCGGAGGAGAAAAUGAGAGCGGAGGCCGUGGCGGAGUGGAAACGGAUGGAGGAGAUAAGGAAAGAGGCAAGGAGGGCGGUGAAGAGUGGGGAGGUGGUGUCGGUGGCGAAGGCGAAGGAGGUUUUGUUUGAAGAGGAAGAAGAGGUGGUUGAGGAGGAGAGGCAGAGAGAAAGGGAAUUACAAGAGAGGAGUGAGAGGGAGAAAGAGUUUGUGGUGCACGUGCCGUUGCCGGACGAUAAGGAGAUUGAGAAGAUGGUGCUGGAGAAGAAGAAGAAGGAGCUGCUGAGCAAGUAUACUAGUGAUGGAUUGUUGGAGGAGCAGACCGAGGCUAAGCAGAUGCUUAACAUUCAGCGCUAGAAUGCAGACACCAAGAAAGAGAAAGAGUAUGUUACUGUGUUUAAUUUGACUCAUUGACUGAUAAGAAGUUGUUUGUUCUUAUCAAAUUGAUGUUUAAGAUGGAUUUUUGAUGUAUUAAUGUUCUGGCAUAGGUUGAAUUCUCUUUGGUUAUUGGUAGGCUUUGUUAAGUAAGUGUUUGUAAGGUAUUUAGAUGGUGGAUUGAGUAAUAGUUGUCCUU
Non-coding RNA from Prunus avium (sweet cherry), 1303 nucleotides. The record is from RefSeq and is a predicted model, not a curated record. NCBI's taxonomy places the organism in Eukaryota, Viridiplantae, Streptophyta, Magnoliopsida, Rosales, Rosaceae.